This 504-nucleotide ribosomal RNA is filed under the name uncultured Glomus. Its description in RNAcentral is "SSU rRNA". It matches the Rfam family "Eukaryotic small subunit ribosomal RNA", at positions 569 to 1078 of the family's 1831-position model. The record is from RNAcentral. Lineage: Eukaryota; Fungi; Glomeromycota; Glomeromycetes; Glomerales; Glomeraceae.
AGCAGCCGCGGUAAUUCCAGCUCCAAUAGCGUAUAUUAAAGUUGCUGCAGUUAAAAAGCUCGUAGUUGAAUUUCGGGACCAUCAUGUCGGUCGUGCCUCGGUACGUACUGGCAUUGUUGGUUUCUCCCUUCUGACGAACCAUGAUGUCAUUUAUUUGGUGUCAUGGGAAAUCAGGACUGUUACUUUGAAAAAAUUAGAGUGUUUAAAGCAGGCUCACGCUUGAAUACAUUAGCAUGGAAUAAUGAAAUAGGACGUUUGAUUCUAUUUUGUUGGUUUCUAGGAUCGACGUAAUGAUUAAUAGGGAUAGUUGGGGGCAUUAGUAUUCAAUUGUCAGAGGUGAAAUUCUUGGAUUUAUUGAAGACUAACUACUGCGAAAGCAUUUGCCAAGGAUGUUUUCAUUAAUCAAGAACGAAAGUUAGGGGAUCGAAGACGAUCAGAUACCGUCGUAGUCUUAACCAUAAACUAUGCCGACUAGGGAUCGGAUGAUGUUAAUUUAAUGACUCA